UGGGGAAUAUUGCGCAAUGGGCGAAAGCCUGACGCAGCCACGCCGCGUGAGUGAUGAAGGCCCUAGGGUUGUAAGGCUCUGUCGGGAGGGAAGAAGGCUAGUUUACUAGCUUGACGGUACCUCGCAAGAAAGCACCGGCUAACUCCGUGCCAGCAGCCGCGGUAAUACGGAGGGUGCAAGCGUUGCUCGGAAUUACUGGGCGUAAAGCGAGCGCAGGCGGCUUCAUAAGUCGGGUGUGAAAGCCCGGGGCUCAACCCCGGAACUGCAUCCGAUACUGUGGAGCUUGAGUACAAUAGAGGGGAGCGGAAUUCCUGGUGUAGAGGUGAAAUUCGUAGAUAUCAGGAGGAACACUCGUGGCGAAGGCGGCUCCCUGGAUUGAUACUGACGCUCAUGCUCGAAAGCGUGGGGAGCAAACAGG
Molecule: ribosomal RNA, 418 nt
Filed under: uncultured bacterium
Lineage: Bacteria
Description: bacterial SSU rRNA
Rfam family: Bacterial small subunit ribosomal RNA
Source: RNAcentral